Molecule: ribosomal RNA, 467 nt
Filed under: uncultured bacterium
Lineage: Bacteria
Description: partial 16S ribosomal RNA
Rfam family: Bacterial small subunit ribosomal RNA
Source: RNAcentral
ACGAACGCUGGCGGCGUGCUUAACACAUGCAAGUCGAACGGAAAGGCCCUGCUUUUGUGGGGUGCUCGAGUGGCGAACGGGUGAGUAACACGUGAGUAACCUGCCCUUGACUUUGGGAUAACUUCAGGAAACUGAGGCUAAUACCGGAUAGGAGCUCCUGCUGCAUGGUGGGGGUUGGAAAGUUUCGGCGGUUGGGGAUGGACUCGCGGCUUAUCAGCUUGUUGGUGGGGUAGUGGCUUACCAAGGCUUUGACGGGUAGCCGGCCUGAGAGGGUGACCGGCCACAUUGGGACUGAGAUACGGCCCAGACUCCUACGGGAGGCAGCAGUGGGGAAUAUUGCACAAUGGGCGGAAGCCUGAUGCAGCAACGCCGCGUGCGGGAUGACGGCCUUCGGGUUGUAAACCGCUUUCGCCUGUGACGAAGCGUGAGUGACGGUAAUGGGUAAAGAAGCACCGGCUAACUACGUG